Long non-coding RNA from Oreochromis aureus, 2252 nucleotides. Lineage: Eukaryota; Metazoa; Chordata; Actinopteri; Cichliformes; Cichlidae. The record is from Ensembl.
GGAGGAUCAGAUGUUCAGACGUGGAGCAGAGAACUCAGAGGAGAACAACAGCACAUCUGGCCCAAUGCUUUCACUGUGAAUCACCUGCUGUUUAUCAACCAUGUUCAGCCUGCUGACUCUGGACUGUAUUACUGUGAUGGGAAACCAGCUGUCUAUCUGCACGUGACCACAGAUGAGCGCUCUGACAGAGGAGAGAAAAACAUACCCCCACCACCACCCCAACAAACAACAGCACCACCUGCAGGAGAAAACUCAAGUAUGACAACAAUAAAAAUACUGCCAGCUGCCAGUGCUACCCCUCAGACUUCCAGCAGACCCACCCGUGGUUUGAUCCAUGAAGCUGUGGAAGUGGCCGAGAACCUCAUCAUCACUUGUCCUCUCAGUGUGGAGGGUAAAGUGACGUGGAGCAGAGAGAUACAUAGAAGGAAAGUUGACUUACUUACAUCUUAUGGUGACGCAGAAAUACGACACAUCCGUGAUGCGGACAGGUACAGUUCAUUUGCAGAUGGGUUCCUGCUAAUUGUUGGCACUUCUGUGUCAGACUCUGGAACAUACCUGUGUAAUAAUCAAGCAGCUGUGGAGCUGACAGUCAUCCCAUCAGGUGACAUGAAUCUUUAUCAAGCUUUUCAAAAAUCAAAUCAAAUGUUUAAAUCGAAGCUACACAGAAACAAAACUCAUCAGUUAAAAAUGUACAAAUGAACUGUUAUUCUCAGGAACAACAAGACGCAUCAUUUCAGAGAAGACGACGAGCACUCUGCACUGUCCUCAUGAUGCGGAAGAGUCGCAUGUCCCAGUAUGGAGCAGAAAACUCAGAGGACAGCAGCGACACAUCAGCCCUCACUCUUUCACUGUGGACCAGAUGUUGAUCAUUACAGAUGUUCAGCUUGGUGAUUCGGGACUGUACUACUGUGAUGGGAAACCUGCUGUUUAUCUGGAUGUGAUCAAAGAUGAGAGAUCUGAGAGAGGUAUCUUCUAUGAAGUAGCUGAGGUGAUGCAGAAGGUCGUUUUGACUUGUCCUCACAUCGUGGAGGGUAAAAUAACGUGGAGCAAAGAGAGGUAUGGAAUGGAAGUUGAUAUAUUCACAACCAGCAACGACAGAAGUGUAACAGACUUUAAUGAGCAUGAAGGCUACAACUCAUGGGUGGGGUCGCUGCUCAUUCGUAACACUUCCACCUCGGUAUCUGGAAGAUACUUCUGUGACAGGAAACCAGCCGUGGAACUGAUAGUCCCCCCAUCAGGAACAAGGAUACGUGUUGUGUCAGAGUGGACCAACACUGUUCUUACUUGUCCACAUGUUGAUGGAGGAUCAGAUGUUCAGACGUGGAGCAGAGAACUCAGAGGAGAACAACAGCACAUCUGGCCCAAUGCUUUCACUGUGAAUCACCUGCUGUUUAUCAACCAUGUUCAGCCUGCUGACUCUGGACUGUAUUACUGUGAUGGGAAACCAGCUGUCUAUCUGCACGUGACCACAGAGGAGCGCUCUGACAGAGGAGAGAAAAACAUACCCCCACCACCACCCCAACGAACAACAGCACCACCUGCAGGAGAAAACUCAAGUAUGACAACAAUAAAAAUACUGCCAGCUGCCAGUGCUACCCCUCAGACUUCCAGCAGACCCACCCGUGCUGCUGAUCACCUGUGGCACAUGACUGUCCGUACACUGAUUGGACUGCUCUGCUUAACCAUCAUGAUCAGCAUCACUGCUGUUACCUGGAGGAAAGCUCGACGGAUAGAGAAACAGAAGAGAGACACAGAAGCAGAAACCGGCCUGUGAUCCUCCAUCAUGCAGAAACAAGAGCCGUACAGACUGAAUUGGGAUCAGUUCAUCGUCAUCCAGUCACACAGCACACAGCCAUCCUGAACCUCAGAGUGACGACAGAUUGUUCAGCAUGUGAUCCAAACUUUCAGUGACCUUUGUCUCUCUCUCUUAUGUGUCGCAGACUAAACUGAGGUUAAACUGGAUAAAAGAAAAGAAAUUCAGUUAAUUGAAACUCAAAAGUAACAUAUUAAAGUACAUGUAAAGUAUUUGCUGCUCUGCCCUCUCAAUAUCCUGCAGCUCAACAGUUUCUGUCCCAUCACAGUCUAAUUUCUUUGUCUUUGCUCUUUCUGUUUCUGGAGCUGUGCUGUAUUUAGUCAACAGGCAUUAAAAACAUGUUAGAAGCUCAGUUUAGUUUUAGAUCUGUUACAUUCACUGCUUUCAAAUAGAGUGAGUCCAUUUUUGAUUUGUGUUGUUUGUGUCGAUGUUGUUUGAG